This 249-nucleotide ribosomal RNA is filed under the name Enterobacter hormaechei subsp. hoffmannii. RNAcentral's name for it is "partial 23S ribosomal RNA". It matches the Rfam family "Bacterial large subunit ribosomal RNA", at positions 1117 to 1365 of the family's 2925-position model. The record is from RNAcentral. Lineage: Bacteria; Pseudomonadati; Pseudomonadota; Gammaproteobacteria; Enterobacterales; Enterobacteriaceae.
CAUCAUUUAAAGAAAGCGUAAUAGCUCACUGGUCGAGUCGGCCUGCGCGGAAGAUGUAACGGGGCUAAACCAUGCACCGAAGCUGCGGCAGCGACACUAUGUGUUGUUGGGUAGGGGAGCGUUCUGUAAGCCGUUGAAGGUGUCCUGUGAGGGGUGCUGGAGGUAUCAGAAGUGCGAAUGCUGACAUAAGUAACGAUAAAGCGGGUGAAAAGCCCGCUCGCCGGAAGACCAAGGGUUCCUGUCCAACGU